RNAcentral lists this transfer RNA (74 nucleotides) under Nitrososphaerota archaeon. RNAcentral describes it as "Thaumarchaeota archaeon (sponge metagenome) tRNA-Lys". It matches the Rfam family "tRNA". Rfam says of the family: Transfer RNA (tRNA) molecules are approximately 80 nucleotides in length. Their secondary structure includes four short double-helical elements and three loops (D, anti-codon, and T loops). The record is from RNAcentral. Lineage: Archaea; Thermoproteati; Nitrososphaerota. RNAcentral also lists the same sequence under 1 other name.
GGGUCUAUGGCUCAGCCAGGUAGAGCAUCGGACUUUUAAUCCGGCUGUCGGGGGUUCGAAUCCCCCUAGACCCG